UGCGUGGGCGGGGCUUGUGGGCGGGGCUCGGGCAGGCCAGACAAAUCCAGCCCCGAGGCGCGGAUGCACCGGCCGAGACACUCCACUCCAGGUGCAACCCGGGCGGAACUCUGAGAUCCUCAGGGCGACAAGAUACCGACAACUGCUAGGCCACUGGGUGGGGUGCUAAGCCCUUUCUUUCUGAGUUUCCCACCAAAUACACUGUCUCUACCGAGACACCCCGCCCCCGGUCCUGCUGUUUCCUGCUCAGCAUUGUGCUAGGAGCCACACAAGCAGCUGGUGUCCGGCAGAGCCACACCUGGGGCCACAGACGCGCUCCUCCCUCCAGGCGGGUCUGGGCCCCUGCCAGGGAGACGGGCAGACCCGGGUGAGACUCCGCUGGCCCAGGCUGGCUGCAGGAGUGUCCUGAGGGCGAAAGCCCGAGGGCCAGGCCUGCACGGGGCACUCUGUACGGCCUGGGUGCUGACUCUGGGCCCUGAGGGGGUCCUGUCCUGGUCCCUCCUGCAGAUGAGAGGCCAGGACAUUGAAGGGCCUGCACCCCACCCCUGGCGCCUGCCGGGCUGCACUCACUCUGCCCUCUUAGCAGCCUCACCCUCGCAGGAACUUGGGUUCCAGCAGCCCUGCUGGGAGAGCAGAAAGCAGCAGGGACCCGGGAGCAAGACCUCAAUCGGCGAUGCCAGGACGUGAGACGAGGACACACCUCGCGUGGCUGCCAGGGCUUGGAGGCCUGCUGCUCCUCUGAAGACCCUGCAGCUCACCCUACAGACCUCCACCAGGCCAGAGAGGCUGCCAAGGGAAGGACGGGGGCCUCCUAAGACCCCUAGGAAGAUGCUCAAGGCAACGUCACACACAGGAAAACCUUGCAAGCAGCAGGAAUGGAAGUGGCUGGGCCACUCCUUGUGGGGUGGCUGAGGAGAGCAGGUACCCGACACCCCGCUGGCAGGGUGGGGUUCUCCAGGACCCUGCAGUGGGCCAGCUGCCCAGGGGAUGAGGUCACAUGACAGGAGACCGGCCCUGGCUGCUGCAUCCACCCGUCCGAGUCUCUGUCCAUGGCCCGUGCAGUUCUCAGCAACAGGAGACUCGGAGGUGGCCCCAGGAGCCCUGCUUCAGAGCGAAGAAGAUGGGGUCCACAGCCCCCAGAGAGCAGGGCACCAGGGAGGGUUGGGGCUGCUGCAGGCCCCCGGCUGGCUGGCACCCCCAGUGGCCGGGUAUGCACACCCACUCUGGUGCCCUAACCCUCCUGCCAGCUCCACAGGGUCCCCUCACACAGUGCCCGAGGCCAAGGGACCCUAGAACUGUGGAGCUGGACCUGUGCUGCUGUCCCACAGCAGGACCUUGGCAGAGUCCCGGGGCACUCUUCCAGGGCCACCCUGUCCCAGCCCCUGGCUGAGCUCAGGCACCUCCUGUGAGUGUCCAGGCUGCAGGCAGAUCACGCCCCAGAGGCAGCUGUGGCCACGGGCAAUGGAGAGGCCACCUGGUCAGGCAUCAGCAGGCAGCCAGGCCCCGGCUGCUGGGGGAGCCCGCGCACCACUGCCUCCCAUAAUUUCCAGUGAAAAAGCAGUUAGACACCGACUGCAGCCUUGGGGAGGGCCUUUUGGUGGUGUCCUGCAGCCCGUGGUCCCCACCCGCCUGUCUGCAACCUGUGUCCCGGUGCCCAUGUCCACCACAGCAGCCCAGGUGAGCUGUGCUGGCUGGGCCAGAGCUGGGCAGGCCAAGAGGAGAUGCACGAGGCAGACCGGCACAGCAUGUGAGCCCCGUGCCGCCCGGCUGCCUGUGCAGCAUCCUCUCUGUGGCAACACCCCUAGGCCAGCUGUGGCCCGGCACGUGGAGCUUCUGCAGCUUUCAUAUCUCUUGCCAACCAUGUUUCCAGCCGCUGCACAUCACUGUUCUCCAGGCCACUUCCAGGCCACCUCAUGCCAGGGUGGGGACACCAGUGGUGCAAACUAUGUGUGGAUUGGUGUCCCAGGGCACUGAAGGCCGGGAGACCUGGGCUGCUUAGGGUCCAGGCCGUCCCAUGGCUACUAAGGACCCCUUCUCCCCAUUCCCAUCCUCUGCAGCCAUAGGAGCUGCCCCUGGGAGGUGCCCAGAGACCAUGCCUCCUCCCCGGUUUGCUCCUCAGGCAGGGCAAGGGCCUCGUACAGUUGUAGCCAUGGCUGAAGUUCCUGACCACCUGGAACGCGGCACAGUAGAGGGAACCAGGCAUCUGAGGAAUGGGUACUGUGGCCACAACUGGUGUCACAUGUGGCCAGGAAGGUGGAGGGAUGGGGCACCAAACAGCCUGUGUGAGCUGGAGGCUCUCUGGAGCUUCCGGUGCUUCUCCAUGCCUAGUUGCAGUCCGCACCAGUCUCUGCCUCUGUCCCCUGCCCAGCCACCAUGGGUGCAGUGCCUCUGAACACACCCAGCAGCACGGAGCCCUGGCGCUCACAGCAAGGCGAGCCCAGGCCAGCACAAAUGCGGGCUGACAGGGAGGGCGAGCCUGGGCCCAUAAGGCUGGCGGGCGGCUGUGCACGUCCCUCGGGGCCUCCUGAGGCCCCCUGCUCUGUGGCUGAGGACCUGGCCUUAAUCCCACCUGGCCUGCUUGCUGCUCUGCUCCUUGUGCACGGCCUUGGGCUGCCCACCCCCUGAACCUCCGCGGGGGUGGGGACCCCGAGGCGAGGCGUGGGAGCUGCUGUGGUCACUAUCUCUCACCACUUCUGUUGCUGCCAAGCUUGGUACAGUGCGGCUCAUGUGUGGGCAUGGCCAGGGUGCCGUGGGCAUGGCCAGGGUGCCAUGUGCACCCGGGCACCAGCCAGCAGGGGGAAGGCCCCCAGGAAGUGAGCCCCCAGCAGGAGCCCCUGCCCAGCCCAGCAGAGGCCUCGCCCCAUGGGCCGUGCCAGGGGUCUGACCUGCCGCAGGGUGGGGGCUGCAGUGUUGCAGUGCUGAGG
This 2924-nucleotide long non-coding RNA is filed under the name Heterocephalus glaber (naked mole-rat). RNAcentral describes it as "lncRNA (ENSHGLG00000041061.1)". The record is from RNAcentral. Lineage: Eukaryota; Metazoa; Chordata; Mammalia; Rodentia; Bathyergidae.